This 374-nucleotide long non-coding RNA is filed under the name Panax ginseng (ginseng). RNAcentral's name for it is "long non-coding RNA (PGIN_LNC011646)". Lineage: Eukaryota; Viridiplantae; Streptophyta; Magnoliopsida; Apiales; Araliaceae. The record is from RNAcentral.
UAUUUCCUCCCCUUAUAGUUGUUCUUGUUUCUUGGACAUUUUUGGAGAUCGUCAUGCAAACCCUUUCAUCUCUUGUUCAUGUUGACUCAUUUUCAUGUAGGUUGUAGCUUCUUUUGUUUGAAGGCUAAGGUUCCCUCAAAUAUUAAGGCUCAUGUUUGGUCAGAGGGUCUUACUAGUACUAAUGGUUUGUUAUUACAGGUACAAGAAUUGUAGACAAGCUAGUGUGUUGCAUUUUCACUAGAUUUUUACACGUCAUGUGGCAUGGAGGCUUUAGGCUUUUGCCAUUGGUAUUUUCCAGGAGGCUUGGGUUGACCCUCCUACUUCGACAGUAUGUAAUUUCAACUUCAGGGCUGUGGGGGUAAUUUAGACACUAG